UAGGAAUAUUGGACAAUGGGGGAAACCCUGAUCCAGCCAUGCCGCGUGUGUGAUGAAGGCCUUAGGGUUGUAAAACACUUUCGGCUGUGAAGAUAAUGACAGUAGCAGAAGAAGAAGCUCCGGCUAAAUUCGUGCCAGCAGCCGCGGUAAUACGAAUGGAGCGAGCGUUGUUCGGAAUCACUGGGCGUAAAGCGUGCGCAGGCGGUUGUGAAAGUCAGGAGUGAAAUCCCAGGGCUCAACCCUGGAAUUGCUCUUGAAACUCCACAACUAGAGUACUGGAGGGGUUAGCGGAAUUCCGAGUGUAGCAGUGAAAUGCGUAGACAUUCGGAGGAACACCAAUGGCGUAGGCAGCUAACUGGACAGUAACUGACGCUCAUGCACGAAAGCGUGGGGAUCAAAC
RNAcentral lists this ribosomal RNA (400 nucleotides) under uncultured bacterium. RNAcentral describes it as "bacterial SSU rRNA". It matches the Rfam family "Bacterial small subunit ribosomal RNA", at positions 356 to 773 of the family's 1533-position model. The record is from RNAcentral.